RNAcentral lists this small RNA (228 nucleotides) under Sinorhizobium meliloti 2011. Its description in RNAcentral is "putative ncRNA". Lineage: Bacteria; Pseudomonadati; Pseudomonadota; Alphaproteobacteria; Hyphomicrobiales; Rhizobiaceae. The record is from RNAcentral.
AUGGGAGAUUCGAUGCAGCGGGGGCUGCUCGUACCUCCACGGUCCAUCUGCUUAAGACGGACAACGGUGCUGAUCUGGUGCACAGCAACGGGAAGUCAAAUUAUCGUCGCAGCGUCGUCGACCCCUCCCGAAAUGACGAAGGGCGCACGACACUUUCGGGGAGCGCCCUUCGGACCCGGACGACUUACGAACGCGCGACAGAGUUCCAUCGCUGCAGGUAGUCAUUGA